UUCUGGCGUUCUGCCUCAGCUUCCAGUGCAAGGCCGAGAUGGCGACCGCAGCUUGGCUUCUGGGACGGCGCGUCGCAAAUUGGAGGCUGCGGACUCCGCUGGCGCCGCUUGCCAGCGUCGUGUCACAGCGGGCCCACUCCCUCUUGCCCGUGGACGAUGCGAUCAACGGGCUAAGCGAGGAGCAGAAGCAGCUUCGUCAGACCAUGGCUAAGUUUCUUCAGGAGCACCUAGCCCCCCAGGCCCAGGAGAUUGAUCAGAGCAAUGAGUUCAAGAACCUUCGAGAGUUUUGGAAGCAGCUGGGAAACCUGGGGGUCUUAGGCAUCACUGCCCCUGCUCAGUAUGGCGGCUCUGGCCUGGGCUACCUGGAACAAGUUCUGGUGAUGGAGGAGAUAUCUCGAGCUUCUGGAGCAGUGGGGCUCAGUUACGGCGCUCACUCCAACCUCUGCGUCAACCAAAUUGUGCGCAAUGGAAAUGAGGCCCAGAAGGAAAAGUACCUACCCAAGCUGAUCAGCGGCGAGUACAUAGGAGCCCUGGCCAUGAGUGAGCCCAACGCCGGCUCUGAUGUUGUCUCCAUGAAGCUAAAAGCAGAAAAGAAAGGCGAUCACUACGUCCUGAAUGGCAACAAGUUCUGGAUCACCAAUGGCCCCGACGCUGACAUCCUUAUUGUCUAUGCUAAGACUGAUCUGGCUGCUGUGCCAGCCUCUCGAGGCAUCACGGCCUUUAUCGUGGAGAAGGGUAUGCCUGGCUUCAGCACCUCUAAGAAGCUGGACAAGCUGGGGAUGAGGGGCUCUAACACCUGCGAGCUAAUCUUUGAAGACUGCAAGGUUCCCGCUGCCAACAUCCUGGGCCAUCUAGGUAAGGGCGUCUACGUGCUGAUGAGUGGACUGGACCUGGAACGGCUGGUGCUGGCUGGUGGGCCCCUUGGGCUCAUGCAGGCUGUCCUCGACCACACCAUUCCCUACCUGCACAUGAGGGAAGCCUUUGGCCAGAAGAUUGGCCACUUCCAGCUGAUGCAGGGGAAGAUGGCCGACAUGUACACCCGCCUCAUGGCGUGUCGGCAGUACGUCUACAAUGUUGCCAAGGCCUGUGAUCAGGGCCACUGCACUCCCAAGGACUGCGCAGGGGUGGUUCUUUACUCAGCUGAGUGCGCCACACAGGUAGCUCUGGAUGGCAUCCAGUGUUUUGGUGCCAAUGGCUACAUCAAUGACUUUCCCAUGGGCCGCUUUCUGCGAGAUGCCAAACUGUACGAGAUUGGGGGUGGGACCAGUGAGGUGAGGCGACUGAUCAUCGGCAGAGCCUUCAACGCAGACUUCCACUGAUCCCGACCCUUCACCCCUUUUCCCAGCACCUCGAGGCCUUUCUUUGGAAGCAGAGAUACAGCGGCUCUCCUGCUGCUCAGCUGCCAAGUGCUCAGGCCUCAGAGCUGGGCCAGCCAGCCAGGCCAGACACGGCAAGAUGUGGGCAGGCAUGGGGUGGAAGGGGCAUUUGUAGCCACACUUUCUGGUCUGAAGAUUCUGUGGGACAUUAAUGAAGGCCAUGGCCAGUGGAGGGCCUAACUGAAAUGUGUUCAGUGGCUUAAAAUGGACUCAGCAGGAAGACUUCUGGCUCUUCCAGGGCUUGUCGGGAAGGCUUUGGUGACUCUCUAGCUUCCGGGCCCUACACUCCCCUGGGUGGGCACUUGGGGGCAGGCAGGCAGCCACCCCUUUUUUCAGCAACACUUCUAGCAGGGAGCCCAGGACACAAGAAGCAUUGCUCUUCUCCAUGUAUUUGAAUCUGGUAGCCUCUUCUUUCUGGGGGGGAGAAAACCUGCCAAAACCUGGACUCUGUUUCUGCUGAUUUUUAGAAGCAUCCACUCCCAGCAGCUCCUCUGUUCCCCUGGGGCUCCAUUUGUUAGGGCUGAGAUCAUGCCAUGUUGGGGUGGAGCUUGGGGAAUAGGCAUCUCAGAACACCUGUGCUACCUGGACUCCACCAUGGGUCAGAGGUCAGUGUGCUUGGGAGGGAUCGGCUCAGCACGGGUCUCUGUGGCAGCACCUCUGAGCCCUUGAGCACUGCUCUGUCCAGUCCUGGCCGGAUGACAGCCCACAGCAGGCAUGGUUGGCGGCUCAACUCCAGCCAAGGCUGCCUGUGUACAUUUCUCUGGACACCCUAUGGCUAGUUCUGUUACAACAGAACAGCGGCUGCUGCCAUUUUGUAUUAUACUGAGAAGCAAACCCAUCUGCUUCUAAACUGGUGUUUUGGGGGAAAAGCAAUCUACUUGCUACUGCCUCCUGUCUGCGUCUAACCCUAUGUCCUUGGCGAAGGGCUAGUCCGGGUGCUACCCUCCUGCCCUUCAGCCUGCUCACUGGUGAUGUGGGACAAAGAGGUGGCAUCCGCCUUUAGGACAGAAGAGGUUUUAACCUCCCUUUCCCAGAUCGCCCAGAGAGGUUAAGAGUCUUGGAGCUAGAAGGAAGCUUAUAAGUUUCUGGACACCAUCUCCAUGGUAUUUAAGAAGAUCAAGACAAUUUGAUUUUCUCAAGGUCAGAACUGAAGCUAGAAUCCAGAUAAGCAGAAAUGAGAAUGCCAGCCUGCCGCCCCCCCCCCCCCCCCCCCCACUGCAGUCAAGAGUGGAAUGGGCUUGGGUUGUUCCACACUAUCUAAAUUCCUUAAAAGAACUCGUUUUCUUGGCUUUCAGCCCAGGGGUGCCUUUCUGACUUUUGGUCCUGGCCUGUAGCCAAGUGCUGUUCCAGCCUGAUGCUUGAGACAGGUGGAGUUAGCGCCUUACCAACCCCAGCCCAGUUCCAUCCUAAGCAGGGGGAGACCCAGGGCUUGGGGCACUGUCCUCUUACGUCCCCACCCUGCCCCUUGUUGUGUUGGAGAUGAAUGUGGCCAGAACACUGGUCUUGCUGGGUUUAAAGUGUAGCUGGAACAGUCUAGAGACCUUCAGAAUGUGACAAAAUGGAAUGUUUCCUCCAGUCUGUGUGGGUUAAGGAGCCCUGCCACCAGCGUGGGGAGAAUGUGAUUGUUCUCCUGAUGCUCUAUGUGAAUUAGAAAAGAAAAGUGUUUUUAAAAAAAGGCAAAAAUAAA
This is an RNA transcript of Leopardus geoffroyi (Geoffroy's cat), 3063 nucleotides long. It is a transcript of the gene named isovaleryl-CoA dehydrogenase, with no coding region annotated. The transcript has 13 exons. The record is from RefSeq and is a predicted model, not a curated record. Lineage: Eukaryota; Metazoa; Chordata; Mammalia; Carnivora; Felidae.